ACCGUCCCCCAAUACAUGGGUUUCCGAUGACGUCACAACCGUCCCCCAAUUCCCUUGUCCGCCAUCUUGUGUGUCCAAACAAACACUCGGAACCAAGAAUGCCUCCGUUGUUAUUUUUGUGAGAACCGCCAAUUCAGGACAAAGAACAACAAAGUACUACGACAUCCCCGAGGUUAUAGUAAAGCAGGGAAAAGAAACCGAGCGACUGUCGACAGAAAGGCGCAACCUGUGGCUAGCCAGAAUCAAUCGGGUGGGAUUUACCCCUGAUCCAGCAAAACGACAUUAUAAAGUUUGCUCUGAUCAUUUUGUAACAGGAAAACGAGGAGAUCUAUACGAUUUUACCAACCCGGACUGGGCGCCCUCCUUAAAAAUGGGACUAGAAGUACCCCAACUCGCAACCUGUUGAUCCACAAUCAUCUAAAAAGAGAUAUCAACGAGCAAAAGGCAGGCACGAAAAAUAUAAACGCUCUAAGGCAGCAGAAGGUCUCCUGGAGUUGCAGAGAGGGGUCAAAGUUCAGGCCGGCGCCAGCUCCACACACGACUGGAUCGGCCCCCCAACCCUCUGUCCAACCUGCGACCCGUGAUCUACCGCGUCCCCGAGAAUGAGUCCGAGCUGGAGGGACGCUUGAGGACUCUGAGGCAGGCCACCGAGGACUGGAACCACCGCUUCUGGACGACGCAGAAUCUCAGCUUCAGCAAGGGAGUGGUAUCGCCGCAACUUCGCCAUCACCUUCCUCAUGGCCCGCGUCACCCUGGGCAACCUGUGGAGGAGCGUCGCCAAUAAACACAACAGAUCUCAAACAUAA
This is a long non-coding RNA of Nerophis ophidion (straightnose pipefish), 806 nucleotides long. RefSeq lists it as uncharacterized. The transcript is spliced from 4 exons. NCBI's taxonomy places the organism in Eukaryota, Metazoa, Chordata, Actinopteri, Syngnathiformes, Syngnathidae. The record is from RefSeq and is a predicted model, not a curated record.